RNAcentral lists this long non-coding RNA (752 nucleotides) under Rattus norvegicus (Norway rat). RNAcentral's name for it is "long non-coding RNA NONRATT006381". The record is from RNAcentral. Lineage: Eukaryota; Metazoa; Chordata; Mammalia; Rodentia; Muridae.
UGACACUGGCCCUGGGUGUAUCUUUGGUCAUUCCUCCUGCCCUUUUGGCCAACAUCAAUGUGGGACCCAAGGUUCUUGCUUAAUGUUUUCUUUCUGCAGGCAAAGGAUGCCUCUAAGAAGAAAAAUGGUUUAUAGCCUGGUGGUCAUAGUCCUGGUCCAUAAUACAGUUGAAGCAGUUGCCUGUAAGAAACAUUUGAUUGACUUCCACAAAGUAUAUAGGGUUUUUUUUGUUUGUUUUUUAAAGACGGGUUUUCUGUGUAACUCUUGCUGUCCUGGAACUCACUGUGUAGACCAGGUUAGCUUCAAACUCAAGAGGUCCACCCUACUCUGCCUCCAGAGUGCUGGAAUUAAAGGUGUGUACCACCAUGCCUGGCUAUAUGAAGGUCUUUUGAACUAGAGAGGAACAAAGAGAAAUACAAUGUUGUAGAAUUGUCCCAUAUUUGCACCACUUGAAGAGACCCAAGACCUUAAUAUAAGAAUUUUAAUUAUGUACUGAUUUUUUGAGAACAUGGUCUUGUGUAGCCCAGGUUGGGCUUAAACUAUGAUGUGACUACAGAUGGCUAUGAAUUCCUUGAGCCUUCACAUUCCAAACACUGCUUUAAAAAAAAGCAAGUUCUGACAUUAGAAAUACUGUGACUGCACAAAGAUAUUUGCACUUUGCCAGCAUGACCAAUGUUAAGAUGGAAAUACUUGUGCACUUACACACUUGGCUAUUUUUUUUUUUAUUUUUGUAAUAAAGGAUCUGUAACUGC